RNAcentral lists this ribosomal RNA (638 nucleotides) under uncultured marine eukaryote. Its description in RNAcentral is "SSU rRNA". It matches the Rfam family "Eukaryotic small subunit ribosomal RNA", at positions 617 to 1258 of the family's 1831-position model. The record is from RNAcentral.
GGUUAAAAAGCUCGUAGUUGGAUUUCUGUUGAGGAUGACCGGUCCGCUCUUUGAGCGCGUAUCUGGUUCAGCCUUGGCAUCCUCUUGGGGAACGCUACUGUGCUUGAUUGCAUGGGGCGGUAUUCAAGACUUUUACUUUGAGGAAAUUAGAGUGUUCACUGCAAGCGUUAGCAAUUGAAUACAUUAGCAUGGAAUAAUAAUAUAGGACCUUGGUACUAUUUUGUUGGUUUCUAGAACUAAGGUAAUGAUUAAUAGGGACAAUUGGGGGCAUUCGUAUUAACGCGUCAGAGGUGGAAUUCUUAGAUUGCGUUACGACGAACUACUGCGAAAGCAUUUGCCAAGGAUGUUUUCAUUGAUCAAGAACGAGAGUAUGGGGAUCGAAGACGCUUAGAUACCGUCGUAGUCUAUACCAUAAACUAUGCCAACUAGAGAUUGGAGGUCGUUCUCUUUAUGACUCCUUCAGCACCUUAUGAGAAAUCAAAGUCUUUGGGUUCCGGGGGGAGUAUGGUCGCAAGGCUGAAACUUAAAGGAAUUGACGGAAGGGCACCACCAGGAGUGGAGCCUGCGGCUUAAUUUGACUCAACACGGGAAAACUUACCAGGUCCAGACAUAGUAAGGAUUGACAGAUUGAUAGCUCU